RNAcentral lists this transfer RNA (23 nucleotides) under Pachycara crossacanthum. RNAcentral's name for it is "partial tRNA-Glu". The record is from RNAcentral. Lineage: Eukaryota; Metazoa; Chordata; Actinopteri; Perciformes; Zoarcidae.
UAUAGGUUUUUGUAGUUGAAUAA